RNAcentral lists this ribosomal RNA (278 nucleotides) under uncultured Treponema sp. Its description in RNAcentral is "partial 16S ribosomal RNA". It matches the Rfam family "Bacterial small subunit ribosomal RNA", at positions 511 to 788 of the family's 1533-position model. Lineage: Bacteria; Pseudomonadati; Spirochaetota; Spirochaetia; Treponematales; Treponemataceae. The record is from RNAcentral.
GCAGCCGCGGUAACACGUAAGGCGCGAGCGUUGUUCGGAAUCAUUGGGCGUAAAGGGCGUGUAGGCGGCCCUGCAAGCCUGGCGUGAAAUCCCGGGGCUCAACCCCGGAACCGCGCUGGGAACUGCGGGGCUUGAGCCGCUGUGGCGCAGCCGGAAUUCCAGGUGUAGGGGUGAAAUCUGUAGAUAUCUGGAAGAACACCGAUGGCGAAGGCAGGCUGCGAGCGGACGGCUGACGCUGAGGCGCGAAGGCGCGGGGAGCGAACAGGAUUAGAUACCCC